AGCAGCCGCGGUAAUUCCAGCUCCAAUAGCGUAUAUUAAAGUUGUUGCAGUUAAAAAGCUCGUAGUUGAAUUUCGGGAUUGACACAUCGGUCGUGCCUUAAGGGGUAUGAACUGGUGUAGUCAAUUUCUCACCUUCUGGAGAACCGCGAUGCCCUUAAUUGGGUGUCACGGGGAACCAGGACCUUUACUUUGAAAAAAUUAGAGUGUUUAAAGCAGGCAUUUUGCUUGAAUACAUUAGCAUGGAAUAAUAAAAUAGGACGGCACGAUUCUAUUUUGUUGGUUUCUGGGAUCACCGUAAUGAUUAAUAGGGAUAGUUGGGGGCAUUAGUAUUCAAUUGUCAGAGGUGAAAUUCUUGGAUUUAUUGAAGACUAACUACUGCGAAAGCAUUUGCCAAGGAUGUUUUCAUUAAUCAAGAACGAAAGUUAGGGGAUCGAAGACGAUCAGAUACCGUCGUAGUCUUAACCAUAAACUAUGCCGACUAGGAAUCAGACGAUGUUAAUUUUAAUUGACUUCGUUGGCA
RNAcentral lists this ribosomal RNA (520 nucleotides) under uncultured Glomeromycotina. RNAcentral's name for it is "SSU rRNA". It matches the Rfam family "Eukaryotic small subunit ribosomal RNA", at positions 569 to 1085 of the family's 1831-position model. Lineage: Eukaryota; Fungi; Glomeromycota. The record is from RNAcentral.